GACUAAUGUUGAAAAAUUAGCGGAUGACUUGUGGCUGGGGGUGAAAGGCCAAUCAAACCGGGAGAUAGCUGGUUCUCCCCGAAAGCUAUUUAGGUAGCGCCUCGUGAAUUCAUCUCCGGGGGUAGAGCACUGUUUCGGCAAGGGGGUCAUCCCGACUUACCAACCCGAUGCAAACUGCGAAUACCGGAGAAUGUUAUCACGGGAGACACACGGCGGGUGCUAACGUCCGUCGUGAAGAGGGAAACAACCCAGACCGCCAGCUAAGGUCCCAAAGUCAUGGUUAAGUGGGAAACGAUGUGGGAAGGCCCAGACAGCCAGGAUGUUGGCUUAGAAGCAGCCAUCAUUUAAAGAAAGCGUAAUAGCUCACUGGUCGAGUCGGCCUGCGCGGAAGAUGUAACGGGGCUAAACCAUGCAC
This 415-nucleotide ribosomal RNA is filed under the name Escherichia coli. Its description in RNAcentral is "partial 23S ribosomal RNA". It matches the Rfam family "Bacterial large subunit ribosomal RNA", at positions 781 to 1194 of the family's 2925-position model. The record is from RNAcentral. Lineage: Bacteria; Pseudomonadati; Pseudomonadota; Gammaproteobacteria; Enterobacterales; Enterobacteriaceae.